GGGGGCGACCGGUUUCGACGGGGAUCAAGAGGUCACCAGUGCAUGCCGAGCUCUCGGGGUCUCGUAAAACCUCCGGGAAAACGCAACUGCCAAUCAAGAACUGGCACUCGCGGCUUAAGCCGUGACGUCUCUCCACCUGAGGCCCGCGGGGGUGGAAGGGGCGCGAUGCAGCGGGCUGGUCCAAGGCUGGUGCUCAGCGGCUGAGGACGAGAACUUUCUGGGCUAGUGGCUGUUCUAAGCCUGCCGAUGGGCGUGGGCGGCUGCGAAACUCAAACAAUCGGCUAAGCAUGUAGGUCUGGUGCGCUGAAGGUCUUCGGACCCGGGUUCAAAUCCCGGCGCCUCCACCA
This 347-nucleotide transfer-messenger RNA is filed under the name Nitrospiraceae. RNAcentral describes it as "2-02-FULL-62-14 sp001805245 Standard tmRNA". It matches the Rfam family "transfer-messenger RNA". From Rfam's summary of the family: Bacterial tmRNA, also known as 10Sa RNA or SsrA, is named for its dual tRNA and mRNA-like properties. Its role is to liberate the mRNA from a stalled ribosome. Lineage: Bacteria; Pseudomonadati; Nitrospirota; Nitrospiria; Nitrospirales. The record is from RNAcentral. RNAcentral also lists the same sequence under 1 other name.